Megalopta genalis is the source of this 5421-nucleotide non-coding RNA. The record is from RefSeq and is a predicted model, not a curated record. NCBI's taxonomy places the organism in Eukaryota, Metazoa, Arthropoda, Insecta, Hymenoptera, Halictidae.
CUGAAACAUCCGCCAUCGCGGGCGUUCCUGAUCCGGUAAAAUCGUACGCAGUGUCCGCAUUGUCAUUCUUGGUCCGACCAAUUAUACCUAGAUGGACACAUGCGCGUGGAGAGGUGGUCGGUCGCAAAUGCAUGGACGUUCGAAACAGUAACGGACAAAUUACAACGUUGAGGAAACAGGUUGCUCGGGUAAAAAUCAAAUCGGCGUGGCAAAUCGAAAAGGAAAGAUUUCCGAAGAAAAGGAACACGCUCAACCUGGAAUACUAAAAUAUAUGCACUGAGAACGAUCUUCCCGAAUAUAGUGAUCCGCUGUCGGUUGCAUCAUAAACUGCCCCAACAGUCCACGCGCCAAGAGGAACCAUUCGUUGCAUCGCGAGUUAGCUGUAAAAAUGGUGACGUAACGACGCCGGAGGGAAAGACUGGUGCGCAGUGCCCGUGUCGUUCCAGUCACGGUUCGGUGAAACAUUCGAUUUGACCGAUUCGACCAAAUCAAUGAAAGAAUACAGUAAAUUCUCCCCGAUUUUCCUUCGGCUUGUGAAGAAGAGAAUGGAGAAUUUGUAAAGAGGAGAUACGAUUGUUCCAGCCUUGCGCCUCGCUUUUAUAAUUAUUGACAAUCGACAACUGUAAAAAUGGAAAAUUAGAGAGAAUUUUCUGCACUUGGUCGCUUAGCAAACGGCGCGAUAGCGUGCUUCAGCCCUUAUCGUUGCGACGGAGAAUUGUUUGACGACGAGCGAAUCCGUCGCUUAUGGAUCCGAUGGAUCGUUCCCGGAACUGUGCAGAGAAGACCGAUAAGAUCUCAAUCGAGGCGUAAACGCUCGGAUUGGUGCUUACCUCGUUUGGCCGGGCUGGGAGUCGAGUUCAUCCUGUGGGUCCGAUUUUCGCGGUGCUCCUCGGUCCUAGGUGGCCUCGGGGAGGGCACGAGCAGCGGCACCGUGGCACACUUUUCCUCGUGCGUGAUCACUGUCGCGAGAUCCGAGCCGAACUCGUUCCCGGCGUUCGCGUUGCGGACCAAGCUGGGACUGGUCGCCGAAGCCACGUGAACGAAGUUCGUCGGCGACGAGAUCUUCAGGUACCUGAGCUCCACCCUGGACAGGCUCUUCGACCUGAGCCUGGUGUCGACGGUGACGGGGGCGCCGGUGCCCGGGUCCAGGCUGGUCUGCUUCAGUGAGCUCAGCGACGAGCUGAGGCUGGCGAUCUUCUUCCUCUUGGCCCUCUUGGACCCCUUGGACGCCAGGUAAUCCGGCACCAGGUGCAGCACGUUCCUCGUGAACCGCUUCUUCUUCUUCUUCUCGCCGGCGUUCCUCUCCUCUUCGAUUCUGCUUUUCAGCUCUCGCACGACCACGUCCGGGAACAUCGAUUUCACGACCACGUCCUCAUCCAGGCUGACCUCGGAGCUCUCCUCGACCUUCUCCGAAACUUUGUCCUCCGUGUCCCGGGACGUUUCCUCGACGCGAGACGGCAGCUCGAUCUUCUCGUAGUCGCUGGAGCUCGACCUGCUUCUGCUCUCCUGCCCCGAAGACUGUCCUGCGUGCUCGGUUUCCACAACAUUUGUCCCAGAGUUAUUAUCGUUGUUAUCGUUAUCGAGGGGUCGAUUCCAGGCAAUCUUCUGCUCGGCGGCUCGUCCGACGAUAAAGUCUGGCCUCGCAUCGGCCGUCCUCGAUUGCUUUUCCGUCGACGGUUCCGGCUCCGUUGUCCUUGAUCCUGAGCCCGUCGCAUCCUGCUCUUCUGCCUAGAGGAGGACACGCCGCAAUUUAUCAUCUUUGUCGAUCGAGUGGAUCAUCGACAACAUAAACAACGAGUCGCGAGGCUCGCAUAAUCGUGUCGCCCCUUUCCAUGUUGUUCAUUUUUGUGCGCAAUCUGAGCGUCAAUUAGGGAGGAUUUACUGUAAAGCACUUCGCCGUAAGAAGCGUUAACGAGUAAUAGAUGAACGUCGUUGACAGUUGACGGAUGUCUUUAGACGUCCUGAUUAUUUGUGCAAUCUGAGCUAUCGAUUUACGUUAUCGCACGAUACGCUCUCAGAACGGUGACGUGAAACUUCAACUCCUCGCCGUGAUUUAUAUUUUAUUCGCUGUUGCAGUUAUUGCAACAUCUUUGAUUGUGAUCAUUUCGAUGAUAAAUGGGAUACGGCUGACAGAAAAUUCAAGAGAAUUUGCUGCAUCGGCGUGCCUGCAUUUAGUUGAAUGAAAUAUUGACGACAAGAGGACAGAAUUUGAUUCCAAUUUAAAAGAACAGAAUAACGUUCGCAACAACCCCCUUGCACUCGAGCGGUGACCCUGAGCUUCAAAAUGAUUUCAGGUACUGUCAAGUUUAUUUACAUCUAAAAACAAAACUACUAAAAAUAUAGCUAUCCUUACGAAUCACGAGACUCGGUUUCGCGUGGCACAGAAACGCGUGUGAACGGUGCGCUGUUGCUAGAAAAUCUCCGUGGUGAGUCAGGCACGCCGAGGUACGGCGAGGGAUUAAGCAACGCGUUCUUCUGGACUGGCUCAUAGCGUCCAGAAGAAAUGAUCUCGCGGAGAUGCCACGGACGAGCUUAGGCGUGCGCGAUCCUCGGACAGCUGUGUGAAACACGCGAUCAAUGAUCGUCGUUCCAUCUCCCAGGUCAUUCAGAGGCGAGCAUGCCGGAGAAAGAGAUCAGCACGCGGCCGCCGCCGCCGCCGCUGCAGUUGGCACGCGAAGAGAAAGGAAACGCGUUGACGUUCUUCGACAUUCCUGCCGUUUCGCAAAUGUUCUAACAUUGAAUUUUUAGAAAGCAAAACGUCGAGCCGCGUUCCAGCGCAUCGACGAGACCGACCAGUUCGGAAAGACGCCUCGACGAUAGCAGGGCGUCGCAUCAGCGCGUGGUCUACUUUCCCGACGCAAAUCAAGCAUCAAUCUCUACGAUCGUUUAUCGUCGCGCAGCCUAACGGGAUCGAUUCGAAAGGAUUCCCGCGGAAAGAGCGCCGAUCACGUUUCGCAGACUACAGAGGAUCUGAACUCGCGGCGACCUUCGGGAGAAUUCGCAUGCCGGUCACGCGCCGCGCGAAACUGUUCUCCGGGAGAGCCGCGCGCGCGCGCGCGGUCGUCGGGGAUGCGAAAAAGGAGUUUUACGAACCUCGCGAUCCAAGUACUCGGACGACGUUUCUUCGAUAGCAUCUAGAUUGGUCGCGUCGUUCCUCUCUGCGGCGGCGAUCGGCAACAGCUGCAGAGGCAGCCUGGCUCUCUUCAGCGCCAAACUGUCGAGGGUCGCGUAGACCGUCUUCUCCGACGGCGAGAAUGAUCUCCGGUCGCCGUGGAGGAAGCUCCUGUUCGCUGUUGGCAGCAGGCUCAUCCUCGUUCGUCGAUGCUAUCACCUCGGUCAAAAUCUCACGGCGGGAGAUUCGUCGAAGCGGAUCAUUGCCACGGUGUCUCCGCGCGCGACCGGCGUCUCCGCUGCGAACCAUAAAGCUCAGCGCAUCGUCGGCCGAUUUCCCUUGGCUCGGCUCCGCUCGGCUCGGCGGCUCUGCCAACAAAAAGGAAUUCGAGCCGUAUAACACGGUGAACGGAAUUCCGGCGAAACAGCGAUAACGCGAACGUGCGCCGUUAUCGGUGCACCGCCGCGCCGUGCACGCGCGAGCCGCCGCGGCCGAACGAGUUUCGGACACGCGUUUAUUUGUUUUCACGGCGCGAUAAUUGCGCGCCGUUUUAACGCGCCGCGUCCGCGAUAAUCGACGGUACAGCGGUACACCGAGACGACGAGUUUCUCUCCGAUCCUCCUCGACGACCACGCAGAUCAAUUCGCCGAUUCCUCGAAGGCGUACGCGACGCGCCGAGUCCCGGAGACGCGCGCGUUAUUCGUUGAACGGUUCGUCGAUCGAUCGAGGACUGUUCGAGGACUGCGAUGUACGCGAGGAUCGAUUGCUACGGUUCGACCGUCUUCUGCCAAGGGAGGGACGGCCGACCACGAAAACCCGCCACCGCGAUAAGAAACGUCAGCGAUGAUAUUGUUUAAUUCGACGCGUGCGCUUCCGACUGUUUGCGUCGCGUCAGCAGAACACGCGGAAAAGCCGACGUCGCACCUCUUGCUCGGCAGAAUUCCUGAAUCGGUUCCCGAUCGUCCCACGUUGCGACGCUUGUCGAGCACGCGACACGUCCUCCUCGCAACUCGCGAGUUGUGAAAGCGGACAAUCGUGCCCCGUCCAGCCGAAUUACAGCAACGAGGCCCGUUGCGUUCCGUCGACGGCAAUGCGACGCGGCUUCUCCUAGGCUGCAAAAUAUUUCUGCUUCCCGUCGCGAACUUUUCUCUUCCUUGUAUUCCGUUGCUCGGGCCCGUCCUUGGCAAAUUUUCCGCGAUCUUCCGCGAGGACCGAUCGAUCGUCACUGCACUCGCGUCGCGCCAAACGCCAGCGUGUUUUCACGAGCGUCGCACAUUUGGUAUACACGCGUCCGUUAGAUCGUCUCUGGCGGCCCGCCGCGGGAUCGGCGGAGGAUCGGCGAUCGGCGAUCGAGUGACAAAUCGCUCGCGCUCGCUGGAUUUUUCGAGCGGUUGUGCUCCCGCGGUUCGCGAUCGGCCUUCUUCGCCGGUUCUCGCCGCUUCUCGCCGCCGAGAGGCCGGGAUACCACUCUUCUGUUCCUCGAAUCGCACGCCCUUCCUUUCUUUUCGUUCUCUCUCUCUUUCUCUUUCUAUCUCUCUCUCUCUCUCUCUCGCUCGCUCCCUCUCUCUUUCUCUCACUCUCCGUCUCUUUUCUUCUUCUUUUCUUCGCGGUCUCACCCGCGGCCGCUUUCCAACCGCUCCGGAAAAACCGGGCGGGCUCCGCACGCUCGCGAAUCGCGAUUCGCAAUCCGCGCUAGUCGCGCGCGACGCGUCCACGAGCUUCGGAUCCCUCGACCACGCGAUUCCGCAUUCUUCCGUGGAUUUCACCUGGCCGGGCUUUCUCGGCCGCUGCCCUUGCCGACGUAACAGCCCGUCGGAAGGCGUUGCGGCUCGUCGAAAAUGUGGCAAUAAACGCCGAAAACGAAAGAGCCCGCGGCCGAAUACCGUAAACGAAAGACGCUCGACCGUUCAAAUGCUGUAAUCGUAGACGAUUUAUAAGAUCCGCGGGUAGCCUUUCGACCGGAAACAAUUGCUCUUUAUAUUAUUCUACUGGAAUAAAAUUUUUCCUUUUUGUAAUUACAGAUUCAAAUGAUUCCGUCUUUUCCUUCGUCGAGCUCGUUUAUUCCGAUCGCAAGAUAUCUGCUGUAUCUCGCAUGGAAUUAUAUUAUUAUUAAUGUAAUAUUAAUUAAUAUAUUAUAUUAUAUAUUAUACUAUAUUUUAUUAUAUUGUAUAGUAUCAUAUAUUGUAUAUUACUCUAUACGAAUUGUUUGAACUGUAACGUGCUUCGCCGAAUAGUUGAUAAUUUUGUAACAUCGCCGUAACGCGCAGAUGAUACGGAACAUAUUAACAUGGAACGGCAAUUUAUGUUAA